AGCUUCAAUAGUGUAUAUUAAAGUUGUUGCGGUUAAAAAGCUCGUAGUUGGAUAUCUGCCAAGGUUGACUGGUCCACCCUUUGGGUGAGUAUCUGGCCCGACCGAAGCAUAUGCUUGGAGAGCGUGGCUACACUUGACUGUGUGGUGCGAUGUUCAAGACUUUUACUUUGAGGAAAUUGGAGUGUUUCAGGCAGGCUCGUGCCUUGCACAUAUUAGCAUGGAAUAAACACAUAGGGCCUCGGUUCUAUGAUGUUGGUUUCUAGAGCUGGGGUAAUGGUGGAAAGGGAUACUUGGGGGCAUACGGAUUCAACUGUCAGAGGUGAAAUUCUUGGAUUUGUUGAAGACGGUCUACUGUGAAAGCAUUUGCCAAUAAUGUUUUCA
This 381-nucleotide ribosomal RNA is filed under the name uncultured eukaryote. RNAcentral's name for it is "SSU rRNA". It matches the Rfam family "Eukaryotic small subunit ribosomal RNA", at positions 587 to 972 of the family's 1831-position model. The record is from RNAcentral.